AUCAUUUGUUUUAAACAUAAUGAUUUAAAAGGGUUUUCUUUAUGUAUCAUAGUGUGGUAUAUGAGCCACUGCAAUUUAUUAUACCUAAUGAUUAUUAGCAUAUUUAAUUUAAUAUAAUAGAAAAUAGGUCUGUAUGUUGUUUUUUUUUUUUCUAUAGAUUUAACUUUGAGGUAAUUAGUUUUGAAGACAGAGAUAGUUGCCAAUUAUUUUUCUCAUCAAAGUAAAACAUUUUAAAUUUCUAGUGCUUAAUACAAUGAAAUUUGCAUAAUGGUAUAAGAUCUGCCUUAUUCUCCAGAAACAAUCUGUAGAGCAGAAUAAUACCUCCCUUGAAAGGAUACUCAUUUAAACAGAAUUAGUGCAGAUUUUUUUCUGUACUCCGGGGUAAUGUUAGAAUCUAACUCAUUAUAUGGGUGGAGCACUUGGUAAUACUUGAUAUUAAAUAAAAUUAUAUUUAUAAAAUAUCUAGAACACUGUCAGGUAUGCAGUAAGAGCUGGACCAACCUCAGUUUCUCUUUGAUGGCACAGGAGUCUUCAUUUUACCCAAGCUUCAUACACACACAAAAUAAUAUCUAAAGUGAUGAAGGUCUUCCUCAAGAGCUCCUAUAUUAGUUUCCCAGGGCUUCUGUCACAAAGUAUCACAAACUGGGUGGCUUAAAACAACAGAUUUUUGGAGUUCCUGUUGUGGCUCAGAGGUAACAAAUCCAACCAGUAUCAAUGAAGAUAUGGAUUCGAUCCCUGGCUUUUCUCAGUGGGUCAAGGAUCCAUCGUUGCGGUGAGCUGUGGAGUAGGCCACAGUGUGUUAUUUGACCCUUAGCCUGGGAACUUCCAUAUGCCUCAGGGGUGGCCCUGAAAAGCAAAAAACAAACCAGACCGAGAGACAAGAUGGCAGAAGAGUUGGGGGCCACGCUUGCCCUCUCCCACAAACACAACAACAACCAAAAAACACAUCUACAGGUGAAACGACUCGCACAGAGCAGCAGUAAUCGCUGGCAGAAGAACCUAAACUCCAAUAACGGCAAGACAUAACUGGGUAAAACAAGACAAAAGAGGAGAGUGAGAGAAGGGGAAUUAGGGCUGGAUGGGUGUUCCUGAAAGGGAACUGUGGAGGAGAAAGGGAUCCCACACCCUGGAAAGUCACCUACUUGACGGAAAGAUCAACUGAAUUGGAGGGAUCUCCAGAUGCAGAGAAGAGUGCAGCAAUAAGUCUGAGAGCUGAAGAGCAGAGUAAGGACCGAACAGAUCAUCCAAACUACUGACCCAGUCAUCAAAAAUGGAGAUGCUUGGAUGGGGGCUGGGCACCAAGACCUCGGUUCCGGAGGUUAGUCCCCGGGAAUGGGCUGGGGUGGGCGGUGCAGAGACUGUUUGGGGAACUAGGAACUGGUCAGUCGGGUUCACAGGGAAGAGACUGCCCCGGGGGUCUAGGAAGCCGUCUGUCGGAUUGGCAGGGCAGAGACUGCCUGGGAGUCUAGAGAGUGGAGCAUGGCGGGUGGAGGAGCAAUACACUAAGGGCUGGGGAGUGGAAAGCCACAUCAGAGGGAACCUGGAAGAAGAGCUGGAUCUGCAGGAGAGACAAGGCGCCAGUGUUGAGGAGGGUAGAGGAGAAGGGGUGGGCCAUCAUAGAAUACUCCCCACACCACAGCGAGCUCACUUGCCCACCAGCUAUCAGAAAGCUGUGCUUCCCAGUGCAUCUUCCCUCCCCCUGCCCCAUGCUUGCGAGCGCCAGACUUGAGACUGCCUGCCAUCCCGGAGGGCUGGCCUCACCAUUUGCGGGAAGCCAACCACCACAGGGGCUUUUGCUGCUCUGGCCUGCCUGCCCCCUGGAGGGGCUACACCCCCGCAAAGCAGCACCUAGCACCACCAACCCCCUGGAAAAGAACCGCAGCCCAGAAAAGCUAGAACAAGCUCUGCCUGGCUGUGCAAUAUCUGCCUCUAUCCCUAGGUGGUCCUGCCAAUUCACCUGCCCUGGGGAAGAGCCCCUUGGGUUCUCAGCGGCCCAGCUAGCUGUUCUCACACUCCGGGGGGCGGGGGUGGUGGUGCUGCACUCCUGUGGAAUAGCUGCCCAGCACCGCCAGCUGCCUGGAAGAGCCCCACAGCCCAAAAACACCAGAGCAAGCUCUGGCUGGCUGCGUGAAAUCUGCUUCCAUCUCAGUGCAGACCUCCCAGUCCUGUCUGCCCUCACGAAGUCCUCCUUUGUUUCAGAGAGACCCUGUUAGCCCUGUCCACCCUCAUAAAAGCCAUGCUGCCUCAAAGAAGACCCACCAACACCACCAGCCCUCGGGAAACAUUCCAUAGCAGUGCCAAGGCAAACUCUGCCCGGCCACGGUGAGUACAACUCCACCAAAAAAAAAGAAAACAACAAGCAAGAUGAAGAAGCUGAGAAACCACCCCCAGUUAAACCAACAGGAGAACUCACUUAAAGCAGUCAACAAUGAAACAGACCUCUGCACUCUGACAGACUUGGAAUUCAAAAGGGAAAUAGUGAAAAUACUGAAGGAAUUAAGAGACGAUAUGAAUAGUAAUGCAGACACCCUCAGAAAGGAACUAGAAAAUAUAAGGAGGAGUCAAGAAAAAUUAGAAAAUUCAUUUGCAGAGAUACAAACUGAACUAAGGGCAGUAAAAACCAGAAUGAAUAAUGCAGAAGAAUGAAUUAGUGAUGUGGAAGAUAGAAUGAUGGAAAUCACACAAUCAGGUCAGCAGACAGAAAACCAAAUGAGAAAACAUAAAAUCAAUAUAAGAAACCUAAGGGAUAAUAUAAAGCGGUCCAAUCUACGCAUAAUAGGAAUUCCAGAAGGAGUAGAAAAAGAUAAGGGGGUGGAAAAUAUAUUUGAAGAAAUUAUUGCUGGAAACUUCCCAAAUCUAAAGGAUACUGAGUUCAAGAUACAGGAAGCACAAGUUGAACCCAAAUAGACCCAAGACACAUUAUAAUAAAAAUGGCAAAAGUUAGUGAUAAAGAGAGGAUCCUAAAGGCAGCAAGAGAAAAUCAGAAUGUUACCUAUAAGGGAACCCCCAUAAGGUUAUCAGCUGAUUUCUCUACAGAAACUCUACAGGCCAGGAGGGAAUGGCAAGAGAUAUUUAAAGUGCUAAAAGGAAAAAAAUAUACAACCUAGAAUACUCUAUCCAGCAAGAAUAUCAUUUAAAAAGAAGGAGAAAUAAAAAAUUUUUCCAACAAACAAAAGCUAAAAGAAUACAGAAAUACAAAACCCAGGCUUAAAGAAAUAUUGAAAGGGCUUCUCUAAACCAAAAAGAAAGGAUGAUUGAGGAAACCACAAUCAGAGAGCAGUCACUCUAAUAAGCCAGCAUACAGAUUUAAUCAUGAACAUGUUUCAAACAAAAUAAAAUUAAAAAUAAAAAAAGAGUCAUCAGAAUCAUAAAAUGUGGACAAGGGAAGUAAGGAAAUUAAUAGACUCUGUUAAAAAAUUUUUUUUGCUUGUUUGUUUCUCUUCUUAAUUUUAAUAUAGUAAUGAAGGGUUUGAACCUACAGGACCAUCAGGUCAAAACACACGAUUAUAGGAAGGGGUUAGCAUACUUAAAAAACAGGGCAACCACAAGCCAAAACCAAAUAUUGCAUU
Molecule: long non-coding RNA, 3569 nt
Filed under: Sus scrofa (pig)
Lineage: Eukaryota; Metazoa; Chordata; Mammalia; Artiodactyla; Suidae
Description: lncRNA (ENSSSCG00000060946.1)
Source: RNAcentral